Molecule: ribosomal RNA, 779 nt
Filed under: uncultured Neocallimastigales
Lineage: Eukaryota; Fungi; Neocallimastigomycota; Neocallimastigomycetes; Neocallimastigales
Description: partial large subunit ribosomal RNA
Rfam family: Eukaryotic large subunit ribosomal RNA
Source: RNAcentral
AGAGAGAGACAUGCGCGCAUAUCAAUAAGCGGAGGAAAAGAAACUAACAAGGAUUCCCUCAGUAACGGCGAGUGAAGCGGGAAGAGCUCAAAUUUGAAAUCUUAAAGGUUUCCCUUGACGAAUUGUAGUUUAAAGGAAGUGUUUUCUGUUGAGGUUUUGGUAAAAGUUCUUUGGAAUAGGACAUCAUAGAGGGUGAGAAUCCCGUAUUUGACCAUUAUUUCCAGCUUUGUGAUACACUUUCAAAGAGUCGGAUUGUUUGGGAAUGCAGUCCAAAAUGGGUGGUAAAUUUCAUCUAAAGCUAAAUACUGGCGAGAGACCGAUAGCGAACAAGUACCGUGAGGGAAAGAUGAAAAGAACUUUGAAAAGAGAGUUAAACAGUACGUGAAAUUGUCAAAAGGGAAGCGUUUGACACCAGUGUUGUUUUCUCGAAAAUCAAUUAAAAAGAGUCAGGAUUUUGUGUUGUAUUGACCUUUAAUCAGCUUCUGCACUUCAAUUUUCUUGUCUUUUUUUAAUGCACUUUUCGUUUAACAAGUCAACAUCAGUUUCUUUUGUUGUAAAAGGGUCAUUGGAAGGUGGCUUUCUUUUCGGAGAAAGUGUUUAUAGCCUUUGGCCUCUGCAAUCGGAGAGAUUGAGGUCUGCAGCGUAGAUCCUUCGGGGUUAUAGCAUUUGUGCUAAGUUAUAACCUUUCAUAGACAACUUGUUGACUAUGAUCUGUCAUGUAGCUUACUCGCUUAUGCUAUUUUACCUACGCUUAGGAUGUUGAUGUGAUACUGCGAGCA